GACAGAGGUGCCGAGCGUUAGGCGGAAUCACUGGGCUUAAAGCGUGUGUAGGCGGAUUGGUAAGUACCUUGUGAAAUCCCACGGCUUAACCGUGGAACUGCUUGGUAUACUGCUUAUCUUGGGCCACUUAGGGGCUAGCGGAACAAACGGUGGAGCGGUGAAAUGCGUAGAUAUCGUUUGGAACGCCAAUGGUGAAAACAGCUAGCUGGGAGUGUGCCGACGCUGAGACACGAAAGCCAGGGGAGCGAACGGG
RNAcentral lists this ribosomal RNA (253 nucleotides) under uncultured bacterium. RNAcentral's name for it is "partial 16S ribosomal RNA". It matches the Rfam family "Bacterial small subunit ribosomal RNA", at positions 524 to 776 of the family's 1533-position model. The record is from RNAcentral.